GAGCGAGUAGCUCAGUUGGUAGAGCAACUGACUUUUAAUCAGUUGGUCCAGGGUUCGAGUCCCUGCUCGCUCA
This 73-nucleotide transfer RNA is filed under the name Pannonibacter phragmitetus. It matches the Rfam family "tRNA". From Rfam's summary of the family: Transfer RNA (tRNA) molecules are approximately 80 nucleotides in length. Their secondary structure includes four short double-helical elements and three loops (D, anti-codon, and T loops). Further hydrogen bonds mediate the characteristic L-shaped molecular structure. tRNAs have two regions of fundamental functional importance: the anti-codon, which is responsible for specific mRNA codon recognition, and the 3' end, to which the tRNAs corresponding amino acid is attached (by aminoacyl-tRNA synthetases). tRNAs cope with the degeneracy of the genetic code in two manners: having more than one tRNA (with a specific anti-codon) for a particular amino acid; and 'wobble' base-pairing, i.e. permitting non-standard base-pairing at the 3rd anti-codon position. The record is from Rfam by way of RNAcentral. Lineage: Bacteria; Pseudomonadati; Pseudomonadota; Alphaproteobacteria; Hyphomicrobiales; Stappiaceae.